Molecule: long non-coding RNA, 1208 nt
Filed under: Coffea arabica (coffee)
Lineage: Eukaryota; Viridiplantae; Streptophyta; Magnoliopsida; Gentianales; Rubiaceae
Description: long non-coding RNA (CARA_LNC004035)
Source: RNAcentral
UUGUGUAUUAGAUAUUUUGAAGUGUGUAGGUUAAAAAUUUUUGAUAAAUUUUUUUGGCUUCCUAUAGCAAAAGUUGUUAAAAAAUUAGUAGCUAAAAAAUUUGGUAAAAAACUAGACUUCCAAACAGGCCUUUUUUUAUGACCCCGUUUAGAAUCUGAGUUUUUUGAAAAUUUGUCUAAAACUUUACUGUGGUGCACUGUAGAAGUUUUUGGAAAUAUUUUUUAAGAUGAAAAACUUUUUUUUUAACUUUUCUUUCUUUUUCUCUUACUUUUCUUUUUCUUUCCUUCAUUUUUCUUUUCUUUCCUCAUUUUUUCUUCUUCUUCUACUCCCUUCCUCUGCCUUCCCAGCAGCCAUGGCCCUAUCAUUUUUUUCUUUUAUUUCUUUUUCUUUUUCUCUUUCUCUUUCUUUCUUUUUCUUUUUCUUUUCUUUCCUCUCUUCUUCUUCUUCCUUCCCCCUCCCUCUUCCCUCGCGGUACCAUACCUCUGCCUCGUUGAAGAACCAGCAGCCAUGGUCCCAAAUUUUUUAUUUCUUUUUCUCUUCCCUCUUCUCUCUCUUUGCUCCUCUCUUCCCCUCUACUCCCCUUUACCCUCCUCCUCUCCCUUCGAAGCCAGAGAACCAACAGCCAUGGUGUCUCGAUUUUUUUUUUGUUUUUUUCUCUCUCCCUUUUCUCCAUCUCCAUCUCCCUCUCCCCUCUCCUCCACUUUCCUAUUCUCCUCCCCUCCUCCUCCUCGUUGCCCCGCAAUCCAGUCGCAUGACCAGAUCGCAGCUAGGGAAGAGAGAGGUGGCCAGAGAGGCAAGGGGAGAGGGGAGGGAGGAGGGAGAGGGGGAGGGGAAGAGGGAGAGGGAGAAGGAGAAAGGAAGGAAAAAGGCGCUGGAAGUAGCGGCGGAGGUUGUAGCUGGCGAUGAAGGUGUGGUGGAUCAGGGUGGAAGAGAAAGAAGAAGAAAAGAGGAAGUUUUUUGUGUAUUAGAUAUUUUGAAGUGUGUAGGUUAAAAAAUUUGAUAAGUUCUUUUGGAUUCCUGUAGUUAAAUUUGUUAAAAACUAGUAGUUAGAAAAUUUGGCCAAAAAACUCCGUUCCAAACAGGUCCUAUAUUCUUUCACAGUCCUGUAUCCAAUAGAAAGCGUAUCCUAAUUUAUAAUAAAUGACAAUCACAAAUUACAAUCCUAUGACCUUGAAAUGCAAUCGGAGCCAUUUGAUCAUGCCCUUUAA